AAAGUCGGUCUCAGUUCGGAUCGAAGUCUGCAACCCGACUUCGUGAAGCUGGAUUCGCUAGUAAUCGCAUAUCAGCCAUGAUGCGGUGAAUACGUUCCCGGGCCUUGUACACACCGCCCGUCAAACAAUGGAAGCCGGGGGUACCUGAAGUCUGUAACCGCAAGGAGCGGCCUAGGGUAAAACUGGUAACUGGUGUUAAGUCGUAACAAGGUAGCCGUACCGGAAGGUGUGGCUGGAACACCUCCUUU
This 248-nucleotide ribosomal RNA is filed under the name Bacteroidota bacterium. Its description in RNAcentral is "partial 16S ribosomal RNA". It matches the Rfam family "Bacterial small subunit ribosomal RNA", at positions 1278 to 1533 of the family's 1533-position model. Lineage: Bacteria; Pseudomonadati; Bacteroidota. The record is from RNAcentral.